GACGAACGCUGGCGGCAUGCCUAACACAUGCAAGUCGAACGGGGAUACAAGAGCUUGCUUUUGUAUCUUAGUGGCGGACGGGCGAGUAACGCGUGAGCAACCUGCCCUUCAGUGGGGAAUAACGUCUGGAAACGGACGCUAAUACCGCAUAACACAACGAAGCCGCAUGACUUUGUUGUCAAAGGAUUUAUUCGCUGAAGGAUGGGCUCGCGUCCGAUUAGCUAGAUGGUGGGGUAAAGGCUCACCAUGGCGACGAUCGGUAGCCGAACUGAGAGGUUGAUCGGCCGCAUUGGGACUGAGACACGGCCCAGACUCCUACGGGAGGCAGCAGUGGGGGAUAUUGCACAAUGGGGGAAACCCUGAUGCAGCAAUGCCGCGUGAGGGAAGAAGGUCUUCGGAUUGUAAACCUAAGUAGCCAGGGACGAUAAUGACGGUACCUGAGAGUAAGCUC
This 451-nucleotide ribosomal RNA is filed under the name uncultured bacterium. RNAcentral describes it as "bacterial SSU rRNA". It matches the Rfam family "Bacterial small subunit ribosomal RNA", at positions 28 to 493 of the family's 1533-position model. The record is from RNAcentral.